UUGAACGCUGGCGGCAUGCUUUACACAUGCAAGUCGAACGGUAACAGGCCUUCGGGUGCUGACGAGUGGCGAACGGGUGAGUAAUGCAUCGGAACGUACCCAGAGGUGGGGGAUAACGCAGCGAAAGCUGUGCUAAUACCGCAUGUGAUCUGAGGAUGAAAGCGGGGGACCGAGCAGCAAUGUUUGGCCUCGCGCCUUUGGAGCGGCCGAUGUCGGAUUAGCUAGUUGGUGGGGUAAAGGCCUACCAAGGCGACGAUCCGUAGCUGGUCUGAGAGGACGACCAGCCACACUGGGACUGAGACACGGCCCAGACUCCUACGGGAGGCAGCAGUGGGGAAUUUUGGACAAUGGGCGCAAGCCUGAUCCAGCAAUGCCGCGUGCGGGAAGAAGGCCUUCGGGUUGUAAACCGCUUUUGGCAGGAACGAAACGGUGUCCGCUAAUACCGGGCGAUAAUGACGGUACCUGCAGAAUAAGCACCGGCUAACUACGUG
This 491-nucleotide ribosomal RNA is filed under the name uncultured bacterium. RNAcentral describes it as "partial 16S ribosomal RNA". It matches the Rfam family "Bacterial small subunit ribosomal RNA", at positions 29 to 507 of the family's 1533-position model. The record is from RNAcentral.